RNAcentral lists this ribosomal RNA (1598 nucleotides) under uncultured soil eukaryote. RNAcentral describes it as "partial small subunit ribosomal RNA". It matches the Rfam family "Eukaryotic small subunit ribosomal RNA", at positions 538 to 1808 of the family's 1831-position model. The record is from RNAcentral.
CGAGGAACAAUUGGAGGGCAAGUCUGGUGCCAGCAGCCGCGGUAAUUCCAGCUCCAAUAGCGUAUAUUAAAGUUGUUGCAGUUAAAAAGUUCGUAGUUGGAAAUAGGAUGAGAAGUGUGUGAUGGUAGGGGAUAAUAAAAAUUAUUGUUCUUUAUCAUUAUUUCUUGUUCUAAGGGUGUAAAAACCCUUAAGAGGAAAAGGGGGGAUGGUUAACUCUAUUCCUAUUUUAAAACCUUUUUCUCCUUUUACUUUGAGGAAAUUAGAGUGUUCAAAGCAAGUGGUUUGUGAACUGCUAAAUUUUGAAUAUUACAGCAUGGUAUAAUAGAAAAAGACCGAACGGUAAAUUUUGUGGCUAUGUCAACACGUGUAAGCGGAGCGGAUGAGCAAUUGUUCGCUUCGUCUUCGGUAAUGAUUAAUAGAGGCUGUUGGGGACAUCUAUAUUUGAUUGUCAGAGGUGAAAUUCUUGGAUUUUUCAAAGAUAAACUAAUGCGAAAGCAUUUGUCAAGGAUGUUUUCAUUGAUCAAGAACGAAAGUUAGGGGAUUGAAGACGAUCAGAUACCGUUGUAAUCCUAACUAUAAACGAUGCCGACCGAGGAUGAGAGGGGAGCUAAGGGAGAUAGACUUAGGUCUAUUUACUUCUGUAUGCCUCUUCUCGCACUCUUUGAGAAAUCAUUGAGUUUUUUGGUUCUGGGGGGAGUAUGGUCGCAAGACUGAAACUUAAAGGAAUUGACGGAAGGUUACACAAGAAGUGGAGCCUGCGGCUUAAUUCGACUCAACACGCGAAAUCUCACUAGGUUAGGACUUGAGAAGGAUUGACAGAUUGAUAGCUCUUUCUCGAUUGUAAGGGUGGUGGUGCAUGGUCGUUCUUAGUUGGUGGUUUGAACUGUCUGGUCAAUUCCGAUAACGAACGAGACCUCAACGUAUUAAAUGGGGAGGAGAGGGGGUGGAUUUAGUGGGUAAAGCCACGAUAGGUGUGGAGAUAAAGAUGGAUAGAGAUGGUUUUUAAACGGACUGUUUCUAUACUUUUAUUUCUAAACUAUAAAAAUGCUCUCUCUUACUCGGGAGUGUUUGUCGUAAAAAAGCAAGCAUUCUCUUUGCCCACUUAGACGGACAUUUAAAGAAUAUAUAGGGUUUUAGGUCAGCAAUGAUCUAGACUCUUUUGGUGGUAAACCAAAGGAAGUUUGAGGCAAUAACAGGUCUGUGAUGCCCUUAGAUAUCCUAGGCUGCACGCGCGUUACACUGACAAAUUCAAAAAGUAGUUGAGAGGGUAGAUGGGGUGGUAGCAAUAUCAUUUCUCUCCCUCUCUCCACCCUUACUAGAAAUGGUUGGGUAAUCUUCUCAAUGUUUGUCGUGCUGGGAAUUGAUCAUUGCAAUUAUUGGUCAUGAACGAGGAAUUUCUAGUAAGCGUAAUUCAUCAAAUUGCGCUGACUCAGUCCCUGUCCUUUGUACACACCGCCCGUCGCUCCUACCGAUUGAAUGAUACGGUAAAAUGUUUGGAGAAGAGAUGAUUGAGAGUAGCAAUAUUUUCGAUCUUCAUUUCAAAGUUCAUUAAACCUUCUCAUUUAGAGGAAGGAGAAGUCGUAACAAGGUAACUGUAG